RNAcentral lists this ribosomal RNA (253 nucleotides) under uncultured bacterium. Its description in RNAcentral is "partial 16S ribosomal RNA". It matches the Rfam family "Bacterial small subunit ribosomal RNA", at positions 524 to 776 of the family's 1533-position model. The record is from RNAcentral.
UACGAGUGGUGCGAGCGUUAUUCGGAUUUAUUGGGCGUAAAGGGUGCGUAGGCGGCAUGCUAAGUCAACUGUUAAAAACCUCAGCCUAACUGGGGAUCGGCGGUAGAUACUGGUGUGCUAGAGGAUGGAAGAGAGAAGUGGAAUUCUUGGAGUAGCGGUAAAAUGCGUAGAUCUCAAGAGGAACACCAAUGGCGAAGGCAGCUUCUUGGUCCAUAUCUGACGCUCAUGCACGAAAGCGUGGGGAGCAAACAGG